RNAcentral lists this ribosomal RNA (1413 nucleotides) under Pseudoselenomonas ruminantium. RNAcentral's name for it is "bacterial SSU rRNA". It matches the Rfam family "Bacterial small subunit ribosomal RNA". The record is from RNAcentral. Lineage: Bacteria; Bacillati; Bacillota; Negativicutes; Selenomonadales; Selenomonadaceae.
AGAGUUUGAUCCUGGCUCAGGACGAACGCUGGCGGCGUGCUUAACACAUGCAAGUCGAACGAGGUGAUUGAAAGCUUGCUUUUGAGAACCGAGUGGCAAACGGGUGAGUAACGCGUAGACAACCUGCCGCAAAGAUGGGGACAACAGUCCGAAAGGACUGCUAAUACCGAAUGUUGUCAGAUUCCCGCAUGGGGGACUGAUUAAAGAUGGCCUCUACUUGUAAGCUAUCGCUUUGUGAUGGGUCUGCGUCUGAUUAGCUAGUUGGUGGGGUAACGGCCUACCAAGGCGACGAUCAGUAGCCGGUCUGAGAGGAUGAACGGCCACAUUGGAACUGAGACACGGUCCAGACUCUACGGGAGGCAGCAGUGGGGAAUCUUCCGCAAUGGGCGAAAGCUGACGGAGCAACGCCGCGUGAGUGAAGAAGGGUUUCGGCUCGUAAAGCUCUGUUGACGGGGACGAAUGUGCGAGAUGCGAAUAGUUUCUUGCAAUAGCGUACCCGUCGAGGAAGCCACGGCUAAUACGUGCCAGCAGCCGCGGUAAUACGUAGGUGGCGAGCGUUGUCCGGAAUUAUUGGGCGUAAAGGGAGCGCAGGCGGNGAAGGCAAUCAGUCUUAAAAGUGCGGGGCUCAACCCCGUGAUGGGAUUGAAACUGUCUUUCUUGAGUGCAGGAGAGGAAAGCGGAAUUCCUAGUGUAGCGGUGAAAUGCGUAGAUAUUAGGAGGAACACCAGUGGCGAAGCGGCUUUCUGGACUGUAACUGACGCUGAGGCUCGAAAGCGUGGGGAGCGAACAGGAUUAGAUACCCUGGUAGUCCACGCCGUAAACGAUGAGUGCUAGGUGUAGGAGGUAUCGACCCCUUCUGUGCCGGAGUUAACGCAAUAAGCACUCCGCCUGGGGAGUACGGUCGCAAGACUGAAACUCAAAGGAAUUGACGGGGGCCCGCACAAGCGGUGGAGUAUGUGGUUUAAUUCGACGCAACGCGAAGAACCUUACCAGGGCUUGACAUUGAGUGAAAGGCCAAGAGAUUGGUCCCUCUCUUCGGAGACACGAAAACAGGUGGUGCAUGGCUGUCGUCAGCUCGUGUCGUGAGAUGUUGGGUUAAGUCCCGCAACGAGCGCAACCCCUAUCAUUUGUUGCCAGCACGUCAAGGUGGGAACUCAAAUGAGACUGCCGCGGACAACGCGGAGGAAGGCGGGGAUGACGUCAAGUCAUCAUGCCCCUUAUGUCCUGGGCUACACACGUACUACAAUGGGAUGGACAGAGAGCAGCGACCCCGCGAGGGCAAGCGAACCCCAUAAACCAUCUCCCAGUUCGGAUUGCAGGCUGCAACCCGCCUGCAUGAAGUCGGAAUCGCUAGUAAUCGCUGGUCAGCAUACAGCGGUGAAUACGUUCCCGGGCCUUGUACACACCGCCCGU